RNAcentral lists this ribosomal RNA (253 nucleotides) under uncultured bacterium. Its description in RNAcentral is "partial 16S ribosomal RNA". It matches the Rfam family "Bacterial small subunit ribosomal RNA", at positions 524 to 776 of the family's 1533-position model. The record is from RNAcentral.
UACGUAGGGUGCAAGCGUUGUCCGGAAUUAUUGGGCGUAAAGAGCUCGUAGGCGGUUUGUCGCGUCUGCUGUGAAAAUCCAGGGCUUAACCCUGGACCUGCAGUGGGUACGGGCAGACUGGAGUGCGGUAGGGGAGAUCGGAAUUCCUGGUGUAGCGGUGAAAUGCGCAGAUAUCAGGAGGAACACCGGUGGCGAAGGCGGUCUGCUGGGCAGUUGCUGACACUGAGGCGCGACAGCGUGGGGAGCAAACAGG